Molecule: long non-coding RNA, 318 nt
Filed under: Pelobates cultripes (western spadefoot toad)
Lineage: Eukaryota; Metazoa; Chordata; Amphibia; Anura; Pelobatidae
Source: RNAcentral
UCAUGUUUGUGUUGUAAUUAUGUUUCGUCAAUGCCUUUUAGUUUAGGUACAUACUAGAUACUAGGUCUUCAUAAGAUCUGUAGACUUUGUUUAUUCAUCAGGUAUUAUGAUGUGCAAGUGAUAUUGUAUGGAUAUGACAUCUUGCCUUGACAGUUUACUUUCACAAUGUUUUCAGUUUUCUUGCAGUGUAAUCUGUUUUCUCUCUGGGCUUGACGAUUGUUUCUCUGGACGUGUCUGCUACAAGGUGGAUUCGUUGGUUUCCUUGCUCUCCUGCUCGACCUCAUCAAAGAAAGAGGAAGUGGAAGAGCCUGCUUAGGG